This 455-nucleotide ribosomal RNA is filed under the name uncultured bacterium. Its description in RNAcentral is "bacterial SSU rRNA". It matches the Rfam family "Bacterial small subunit ribosomal RNA", at positions 340 to 786 of the family's 1533-position model. The record is from RNAcentral.
UACGGGAGGCAGCAGUGGGGAAUAUUGCACAAUGGGCGAAAGCCUGAUGCAGCUAUGCCGCGUGUAUGAAGAAGGCCUUAGGGUUGUAAAGUACUUUCAUCGGGGAGGAAAAACAAAACUAAUAAUUUUAUUUCUUGACGUUACCCGAAAAAGAAGCACCGGCUAACUCCGUGCCAGCAGCCGCGGUAAUACGGAGGGUGCUAGCGUUAAUCAGAAUUACUGGGCGUAAAGAGCACGUAGGUGGUUUUUUUAAGUCAGAUGUGAAAUCCCUGGGCUUAACCUAGGAACUGCAUUUUGAAACUGAAAUACUAGAGUAUCGUAGAGGGAGGUAGAAUUCUAGGUGUAGCGGUGAAAUGCGUAGAUAUCUGGAGGAAUACCUGUGGCGAAAGCGGCCUCCUAAACGAAUACUGACGCUGAGGUGCGAAAGCGUGGGGAGCAAACAGGGAUUAGAUACC